GGGUCAGUAGGUUGGUCGUGCCACCGGUACGUACUGGUCUCACUGAUUCCUCCUUCCUGAAGAACCGUAAUGCCAUUAAUUUGGUGUUGCGGGGAAACAGGACUGUUACUUUGAAAAAAUUAGAGUGUUUAAAGCAAGCUAACGCUUGAAUACAUUAGCAUGGAUUAAUGAAAUAGGACGAUCGAUCCUAUUUUGUUGGUUUCUAGGAUUGACGUA
RNAcentral lists this ribosomal RNA (216 nucleotides) under Glomeromycotina sp. RNAcentral describes it as "partial small subunit ribosomal RNA". The stretch from base 40 to 216 matches the Rfam family "Eukaryotic small subunit ribosomal RNA", at positions 686 to 864 of the family's 1831-position model. Lineage: Eukaryota; Fungi; Glomeromycota. The record is from RNAcentral.